Molecule: long non-coding RNA, 696 nt
Filed under: Cyanistes caeruleus (blue tit)
Lineage: Eukaryota; Metazoa; Chordata; Aves; Passeriformes; Paridae
Description: lncRNA (ENSCCEG00000005047.1)
Source: RNAcentral
UAAUUAAAGGUGUCGAACCCCCCCAGGGGUCCCGGCGGAAGCGGGAGCGCCGGAAGGAGCCGCGGCGAGGGCGGGGGGCGGAGCCUGAGCCCGAGGAGGAGGAGCCGAGCCGGCGGCUCCAGGCCCUGGCGGCCGCGGCCGAGGAGGAGGAGGAGGAGGAGGAGGAAGGUCCGGGAUGGGAAUUUGGGGGGUCCUGGGGGGGUUUAACCCCUCGGUGACCCCCAAAAUCUGACCCACAGCUCCAGCGGCGCGGAAAGGAGGGAGGAGGAGGAAGGGUGGGAACGUUUUCGCUGCUCUGAGCCAGGAGCAGAGCGAGGAAGAGGAGGAGGAAGAGGAAGAAAAGGAAAAAAAAACGUCCAAGGGGAAAAUUGCCAAGGAGGAAGAGGAGGCCGAGAGGAGGAAGAGGAAGAGCAGCAGGAACGACAAAUCCAAAGGGAGGCGAAAGGUGGGGAUUUUUUUAUGGGAAUUUUUUAUGGGAAUUUUUUUGGGAAUUUUUUAUGGGAAUUUUUUAUGGGAAUUUUUUAUGGGAAUUUUUUUGGGGAAUUUUUUUGGGGGGAAUUUUUUUGGGAAUUUUUUGGGGGAAUUUUUUUUUGGGAAUUUUUUUGGGAAUUUUUUUGGGAAAUUUUUUGGGAAUUUUUUUGGGAAUUUUUUUGGGGAAUUUUUUAUGGGAAUUUUUGGGAUUUUUUUUGGGAAUUU